UGGUUUUCAGGUAUAAUAUUGCUGCAAAAGACAAAACAACAUUGUCUUUUGCAGCAAUAUUAUACCUGAAAACCA
Non-coding RNA from Pelobates cultripes (western spadefoot toad), 75 nucleotides. The record is from the annotation of a GenBank genome assembly. NCBI's taxonomy places the organism in Eukaryota, Metazoa, Chordata, Amphibia, Anura, Pelobatidae.